Molecule: ribosomal RNA, 253 nt
Filed under: uncultured bacterium
Lineage: Bacteria
Description: partial 16S ribosomal RNA
Rfam family: Bacterial small subunit ribosomal RNA
Source: RNAcentral
UACGAGGGGGGCGAGCGUUGUUCGGAAUUAUUGGGCGUAAAGGGUGCGUAGGCGGUUUGGUAAGUCUUGUGUGAAAUCUCCAGGCUCAACUUGGAGUCUGCACGAGAAACUGCCGGGCUUGAGUGUGGGAGAGGUGAGUGGAAUUCCUGGUGUAGCGGUGAAAUGCGCAGAUAUCAGGAGGAACACCGAUGGCGAAGGCAGGUCUCUGGGCCGAUACUGACGCUGAGGAGCGAAAGCGUGGGGAGCGAACAGG